RNAcentral lists this ribosomal RNA (309 nucleotides) under uncultured soil bacterium. RNAcentral describes it as "bacterial SSU rRNA". It matches the Rfam family "Bacterial small subunit ribosomal RNA", at positions 26 to 337 of the family's 1533-position model. The record is from RNAcentral.
AGAUUGAACGCUGGCGGCAUGCCUUACACAUGCAAGUCGAACGGCAGCACGGGAGCAAUCCUGGUGGCGAGUGGCGAACGGGUGAGUAAUACAUCGGAACGUGCCCAAUCGUGGGGGAUAACGCAGCGAAAGCUGUGCUAAUACCGCAUAAGAUCUACGGAUGAAAGCAGGGGAUCGCAAGACCUUGCGCGAAUGGAGCGGCCGAUGGCAGAUUAGGUAGUUGGUGAGGUAAAGGCUCACCAAGCCUUCGAUCUGUAGCUGGUCUGAGAGACGACCACGCCACACUGGGACUGAGACACGGCCCAGACU